Molecule: non-coding RNA, 22 nt
Filed under: Arabidopsis thaliana (thale cress)
Lineage: Eukaryota; Viridiplantae; Streptophyta; Magnoliopsida; Brassicales; Brassicaceae
Source: RNAcentral
UAUAGAUGUAUGUGGUGUUGAA